This 460-nucleotide ribosomal RNA is filed under the name uncultured bacterium. RNAcentral describes it as "bacterial SSU rRNA". It matches the Rfam family "Bacterial small subunit ribosomal RNA", at positions 338 to 795 of the family's 1533-position model. The record is from RNAcentral.
CCUANGGGUGGCAGCAGUGAGGAAUAUUGGUCAAUGGGCGCAAGCCUGAACCAGCCAUCCCGCGUGCAGGAAGAAGGCGCUAUGCGUUGUAAACUGCUUUUCCGGAGGAAGAAAACCCCUGACGUGUCGGGGCUUGCCGGUACUCUGGGAAUAAGCGCCGGCUAACUCCGUGCCAGCAGCCGCGGUAAUACGGAGGGCGCGAGCGUUGUUCGGAAUUACUGGGCGUAAAGCGCGUGUAGGCGGCCAGGUAAGUCGGAUGUGAAAGCCCGGGGCCCAACCCCGGAACUGCACCCGAUACUGCCCGGCUGGAGUCCCGGAGAGGAUGGCGGAAUUUCCGGUGUAGAGGUGAAAUUCGUAGAUAUCGGAAGGAACACCAGUGGCGAAGGCGGCCAUCUGGACGGUGACUGACGCUGAGACGCGAAAGCGUGGGGAGCAAACAGGAUUAGAUACCCCANUANUC